GAUGAACGCUGGCGGCGUGCCUAAUACAUGCAAGUCGAGCGAACAGACGAGGAGCUUGCUCCUCUGACGUUAGCGGCGGACGGGCGAGUAACACGUGGAUAACCUACCUAUAAGACUGGGAUAACUUCGGGAAACCGGAGCUAAUACCGGAUAAUAUAUUGAACCGCAUGGUUCAAUAGUCAAAGACGGUUUUGCUGUCACUUAUAGAUGGAUCCGCGCCGCAUUAGCUAGUUGGUAAGGUAACGGCUUACCAAGGCAACGAUGCGUAGCCGACCUGAGAGGGUGAUCGGCCACACUGGAACUGAGACACGGUCCAGACUCCUACGGGAGGCAGCAGUAGGGAAUCUUCCGCAAUGGGCGAAAGCUUGACGGAGCAACGCCGCGUGAGUGAUGAAGGUCUUCGGAUCGUAAAACUCUGUUAUUAGGGAAGAACAAAUGUGUAAGUAACUAUGCACGUCUUGACGGUACCUAAUCAGAAAGCCACGGCUAACUACGUG
Molecule: ribosomal RNA, 497 nt
Filed under: uncultured bacterium
Lineage: Bacteria
Description: partial 16S ribosomal RNA
Rfam family: Bacterial small subunit ribosomal RNA
Source: RNAcentral